Molecule: ribosomal RNA, 253 nt
Filed under: uncultured bacterium
Lineage: Bacteria
Description: partial 16S ribosomal RNA
Rfam family: Bacterial small subunit ribosomal RNA
Source: RNAcentral
UACGGGGGGGGCAAGCGUUGUUCGGAAUUACUGGGCGUAAAGGGCUCGUAGGCGGCCAACUAAGUCGGACGUGAAAUCCCCAGGCUCAACCUGGGAACUGCGUCUGAUACUGGAUGGCUUGAAUCCGGGAGAGGGAUGCAGAAUUCCAGGUGUAGCGGUGAAAUGCGUAGAUAUCAGGAGGAACACCGGUGGCGAAGGCGGCUUUCUGGACAGAUACCGACGCUGAGGCACGAAAGCUAGGGGAGCAAACAGG